RNAcentral lists this ribosomal RNA (433 nucleotides) under uncultured bacterium. RNAcentral describes it as "partial 16S ribosomal RNA". It matches the Rfam family "Bacterial small subunit ribosomal RNA", at positions 29 to 507 of the family's 1533-position model. The record is from RNAcentral.
AACGAACGCUGGCGGCAUGCCUAACACAUGCAAGUCGAACGAGACCUUCGGGUCUAGUGGCGCACGGGUGCGUAACGCGUGGGAACCUGCCCUUAGGUUCGGAAUAACUCCCCGAAAGGGGUGCUAAUACCGGAUAAUGUCUUCGGACCAAAGAUUUAUCGCCUUUGGAUGGGCCCGCGUUGGAUUAGCUAGUUGGUAGGGUAAAAGCCUACCAAGGCGACGAUCCAUAGCUGGUCUGAGAGGAUGAUCAGCCACACUGGGACUGAGACACGGCCCCGACUCCUACGGGAGGCAGCAGUGGGGAAUAUUGGACGAUGGGCGAAAGCCUGAUCCAGCAAUGCCGCGUGAGUGAUGAAGGCCUUAGGGUUGUAAAGCUCUUUUACCCGGGAUGAUAAUGACAGUACCGGGAGAAUAAGCUCCGGCUAACUCCGUG